GACGAACGCUGGCGGCGUGCCUAAUACAUGCAAGUUGAGCGCUGAAGGUUGGUACUUGUACCAACUGGAUGAGCAGCGAACGGGUGAGUAACGCGUGGGGAAUCUGCCUUUGAGCGGGGGACAACAUUUGGAAACGAAUGCUAAUACCGCAUAAAAACUUUAAACACAAGUUUUAAGUUUGAAAGAUGCAAUUGCAUCACUCAAAGAUGAUCCCGCGUUGUAUUAGCUAGUUGGUGAGGUAAAGGCUCACCAAGGCGAUGAUACAUAGCCGACCUGAGAGGGUGAUCGGCCACAUUGGGACUGAGACACGGCACAAACUCCUACGGGAGGCAGCAGUAGGGAAUCUUCGGCAAUGGACGAAAGUCUGACCGAGCAACGCCGCGUGAGUGAAGAAGGUUUUCGGAUCGUAAAACUCUGUUGGUAGAGAAGAAAGUUGGUGAGAGUGGAAAGCUCAUCAAGUGACGGUAACUACCCAGAAAGGGACGGCUAACUACGUG
This 497-nucleotide ribosomal RNA is filed under the name uncultured bacterium. RNAcentral's name for it is "partial 16S ribosomal RNA". It matches the Rfam family "Bacterial small subunit ribosomal RNA", at positions 28 to 507 of the family's 1533-position model. The record is from RNAcentral.